This 123-nucleotide ribosomal RNA is filed under the name Pteropus alecto (black flying fox). Lineage: Eukaryota; Metazoa; Chordata; Mammalia; Chiroptera; Pteropodidae. The record is from RNAcentral.
GUCUACAGCCAUGCUACCUUGAACAAGCCCAAUCCCGUCUGAUUUCAGAAGCUAAGCAGGGUUGGACCUGGUUAGUACUUGGAUGGGAGAUCACCUAGGAAAACCACCUAGGUGCUGUAGGCA